Molecule: long non-coding RNA, 857 nt
Filed under: Callithrix jacchus (white-tufted-ear marmoset)
Lineage: Eukaryota; Metazoa; Chordata; Mammalia; Primates; Cebidae
Description: lncRNA (ENSCJAG00000081040.1)
Source: RNAcentral
UGAUUCUCUCUCUGCAAAAUGUGACCACAGAUGGGGAGUGGAAGGGCAUGGUGUAGGCCAUUUAAUACUUUCUUUUGUAACCUCUUCAGUGCCUCUUUCCUUAACAUGAUAUUAAAACCAGACUGGGAUUAUGGAUUUUUGGCAAGAAGACCACAGAGGUAUCACAUCAUAACAAGGACACAUUACUUAUCACUCAUGAUGCUCGCCUUGAUGAUCUGAUCGAGGUGGAAUUUGCCUGCUUACUCCACGCAAAUAAAAAUACAGUGAGAAGAGGCCACUGAAAUAUGGAAAAGAAGGUAAAUAACAACAUGACCUGUGAAGUGGAUGUAUAAGAUGAAAGGAAUACAACAUGUGACCAGAAAAUAGUACAGAAGAAACCAGGAAGAUAUAAAGUAAAGCAAGAACUUACGUUUGAUGAACGUCUUCAUCCUUACUUUAAAUAGUAGAUUUUCCAAGAUUACUAUUGACCUAUAACUAUGUACCAGAUACUACUGGCACUUUGCUUUACAAUCCCUAAUUCUCACAUCUCUAGUGAUCCUCAUUAUAAAUACAUGAUAUAUUUAGUCUAUGAAGUCUCAGUAACGUAGGGGUAAUGCCUAAGACCUAAUAGCCUGAUAGGCAAAGUCUGAAAGUGAAUACAUACCUAUAUGGAUCUACAAGAUAGACACUUUGAGAGUCUGCAUAUAAUCUUAAAAAUGAAUUUACUUAUGAUAGGUGAUUUGCUACAUUAGUUUGUCUUAUAAUAACUUGACAAAAAGCAAAUUUUGUUCUCUUUAUCGUAUGUUUUUCAGAGAGUCACUAAAUCCCUCAAGACUCCAGUUUGUUUGUAUGUUUGUUUGUUUGAUUGUUCAAUAAAG